GCCGAGGUGGUGGAAUUGGUAGACACGAGGGACUUAAAAUCCCUUGGAGAUAAAACUCUGUGCGGGUUCGAGUCCCGCCCUCGGCA
RNAcentral lists this transfer RNA (86 nucleotides) under Candidatus Buchananbacteria bacterium. RNAcentral describes it as "tRNA-Leu". It matches the Rfam family "tRNA". Rfam says of the family: Transfer RNA (tRNA) molecules are approximately 80 nucleotides in length. Their secondary structure includes four short double-helical elements and three loops (D, anti-codon, and T loops). The record is from RNAcentral. Lineage: Bacteria; Candidatus Buchananiibacteriota.